This 1003-nucleotide ribosomal RNA is filed under the name Microbacteriaceae bacterium ABO28. RNAcentral's name for it is "bacterial SSU rRNA". It matches the Rfam family "Bacterial small subunit ribosomal RNA", at positions 89 to 1104 of the family's 1533-position model. The record is from RNAcentral. Lineage: Bacteria; Bacillati; Actinomycetota; Actinomycetes; Micrococcales; Microbacteriaceae.
GGAUCAGUGGCGAACGGGUGAGUAACACGUGAGCAAUCUGCCCCUGACUCUGGGAUAAGCGCUGGAAACGGCGUCUAAUACUGGAUACGAACCGUGGAGGCAUCUUCAACGGUUGGAAAGAUUUUUUGGUCAGGGAUGAGCUCGCGGCCUAUCAGCUUGUUGGUGAGGUAAUGGCUCACCAAGGCGUCGACGGGUAGCCGGCCUGAGAGGGUGACCGGCCACACUGGGACUGAGACACGGCCCAGACUCCUACGGGAGGCAGCAGUGGGGAAUAUUGCACAAUGGGCGAAAGCCUGAUGCAGCAACGCCGCGUGAGGGAUGACGGCCUUCGGGUUGUAAACCUCUUUUAGCAGGGAAGAAGCGAAAGUGACGGUACCUGCAGAAAAAGCGCCGGCUAACUACGUGCCAGCAGCCGCGGUAAUACGUAGGGCGCAAGCGUUAUCCGGAAUUAUUGGGCGUAAAGAGCUCGUAGGCGGUUUGUCGCGUCUGCUGUGAAAUCCCGAGGCUCAACUUCGGGUCUGCAGUGGGUACGGGCAGACUAGAGUGCGGUAGGGGAGAUUGGAAUUCCUGGUGUAGCGGUGGAAUGCGCAGAUAUCAGGAGGAACACCGAUGGCGAAGGCAGAUCUCUGGGCCGUAACUGACGCUGAGGAGCGAAAGGGUGGGGAGCAAACAGGCUUAGAUACCCUGGUAGUCCACCCCGUAAACGUUGGGAACUAGUUGUGGGGUCCAUUCCACGGAUUCCGUGACGCAGCUAACGCAUUAAGUUCCCCGCCUGGGGAGUACGGCCGCAAGGCUAAAACUCAAAGGAAUUGACGGGGACCCGCACAAGCGGCGGAGCAUGCGGAUUAAUUCGAUGCAACGCGAAGAACCUUACCAAGGCUUGACAUAUACGAGAACGCUGCAGAAAUGUAGAACUCUUUGGACACUCGUAAACAGGUGGUGCAUGGUUGUCGUCAGCUCGUGUCGUGAGAUGUUGGGUUAAGUCCCGCAACGAGCGCAACCC